This 629-nucleotide ribosomal RNA is filed under the name Curtobacterium sp. Its description in RNAcentral is "bacterial SSU rRNA". The record is from RNAcentral. Lineage: Bacteria; Bacillati; Actinomycetota; Actinomycetes; Micrococcales; Microbacteriaceae.
UGCAGUCGCACGAUGAUSCCSAGCUUGCUGSUCGGGAUUAGUGGCGACGGGUGAGUAACACGUGAGUAACCUGCCCCUGACUCUGGGAUAAGCGUUGGAAACGACGUCUAAUACUGGAUAUGACUUCCGGCCGCAUGGUCUGGUKGUGGAAAGAUUUUUUGGUUGGGGAUGGACUCGCGGCCUAUCAGCUUGUUGGUGAGGUAAUGGCUCACCAAGGCGACGACGGGUAGCCGGCCUGAGAGGGUGACCGGCCACACUGGGACUGAGACACGGCCCAGACUCCUACGGGAGGCAGCAGUGGGGAAUAUUGCACAAUGGGCGAAAGCCUGAUGCAGCAACGCCGCGUGAGGGAUGACGGCCUUCGGGUUGUAAACCUCUUUUAGUAGGGAAGAAGCGAAGUGACGGUCCUGCAGAAAAAGCCCGGCUAACUACGUGCCACAGCCGCGGUAAUACGUAGGGUGCAGCGUUGUCCGGAAUAUUGGGCGUAAGAGCUCGUAGGCGGUUUGUCGCGUCUGCUGUGUAAUCCCGAGGCUCACCUCGGGCUUGCAGUGGGUACGGGCAGACUAGAGUGCGGUAGGGAGAUGGAAUCCUGGUGUAGCGGUGGAAUGCGCAGAUAUCAGGAGCAACAC